GACAAGACAAGCUACAAAGACAAUGGAAA
Molecule: non-coding RNA, 29 nt
Filed under: Mus musculus (house mouse)
Lineage: Eukaryota; Metazoa; Chordata; Mammalia; Rodentia; Muridae
Source: RNAcentral